Non-coding RNA from Cicer arietinum (chickpea), 574 nucleotides. Lineage: Eukaryota; Viridiplantae; Streptophyta; Magnoliopsida; Fabales; Fabaceae. The record is from RefSeq and is a predicted model, not a curated record.
UUAGAAAACUGAGACCACAUUCGUGAUCAUUGUGAUCUCAUCUUUUAUUCUCAACCUAAAUCGUAAAUUGAAACAUCUUAUUUCUCUUUGUCAAAAAUCACACCUCCACCUUUGGAUCAAGAUUUCGACCACCACGACUAUCACAAACGAAAACCAAGACCAUAUUUGGACUCCAUGAAACACCCUCUUCCGUUACCUAUGCUCGAAAUCGCCAACCGUUACGUUUUAAAAAAUGGGUUUCCACCAUUGUCGCGGCUGUGUUGCCAAACUCCGGCCAACACGUUCAUCGUUUUGAAAAACUGACAUCAUUUUUGGAUUCCUCUCGUCGAAACCUUCAAGAAGCACUACUCAUUUGCGUGUUUCGGUGAAGUUGAUGCCGGACCCUGUCGGCGCCCCAGUACGUCGCCAUGUUUCAUUGACUCUGCAAAUUCGUCGAUGAUUUUGGACUCGUUUGGACGUGUUGUCGACAUCUCAUGGUUGCUGAAAAUCAUUAUGGUCCUUAUAUCUUAUGAAAGCGUCAAGUUGAGGUUAUCGAUUGGGGAUCCACGCUCUGAAUAGGUGAUACUGGGUGGGA